Molecule: long non-coding RNA, 1812 nt
Filed under: Capra hircus (goat)
Lineage: Eukaryota; Metazoa; Chordata; Mammalia; Artiodactyla; Bovidae
Description: lncRNA (ENSCHIG00000005001.1)
Source: RNAcentral
GCAGGCCUGCCUUGGGGAACAUUCAUCUCAUUAAAGUUAAAUCACGUUUCCCUGUCUGCAUGUCUCCUCCCCACAGGAAUGUAACCUCCCAGAGGGAAAGAUUGAAGGCAAGAGGAGAAGGGGAUGACAGAGGAUGAGAUGGCUGGAUGGCAUCACCGUCUCUACGCACAUGAGUUUGGGUGGACUCCAGGAGUUGGCGAUGGACAGGGAGGCCUGGCGUGCUGCUGUCCAUGGGGUCACAAAGAACAGGACACGACUGAGCGACUGAACUGAGAGGGAAGCCACUCUCCUUUAUCUCGAAUCUCCUGUGCCCCGGGAGAGGGUACAGCCAGUUUUGCUCCAUCAGUGGUUGUCUAGGUACUUAUAAAGGCAACGUACCGCAUUUCACACUUACACAGCCCUUCCGAGUUCACAGCGCGGCACCCGGAUUCCUGCAAAACCUCCCCUGUUUGGGACGCACCAGCCUUCGUUUCACCCCGAGAAGAGCAAGGUCUGUGCAGUGCUGUCAAGCCCCAGAGCCCAGAGCUGAGCUGAAGGGGUCUUCCCCAGUCACUGGGACCAAAGAUAGUGGGUGGCAGCAAAGAGCUCAGAGGAGGAAAUUUUUUCUUCUUGCUUGUUUUAUGGUUCUUAGGGUGUUACCAUAACAGCAUGAAUUCCUCCCUGAACUCAGCAGAACAUAUGGGAAAACCUAUACUUAGCUUAUCAUUUCAAACCCUUCCUCCCCCACACCCUUCUUCCCCUCCAGGAGGCCUCAAUAUGGUACCAGUUCUGUAGGUAAAAUAAAAAAUGCUGAAUUGAGUGAAGUGGUCGCUCUUCCAGACUCAUGGGCGAGCAGUGAUGUGUCCUGAGCUUUGACUGGAGUUACAAUUGAGCACUAACCUGCAAAGACAAAAUUGUUCUCACAGGGGUUGUUGUAUUACACACAGAAGGGGAAACACAGCCACCACAUCGGACUCAAGGGUGGAGCCACCAGAACAGAUAUGACUGUGGCCAAAAAUGGCCAGAAAAUAUGCAACACAAAGAGAGGACACAGAGAAAUCCUUACAAUUGGUCAUAAAUGUCAAAACAGACCACACGAGAAGGUGCUUCUCUGCUGAAAAACAGACAGUGUUUAUGAGUUGAUCUCAUACAGGAAAUCAUCACACUGCUCUUUUAAACCAUCGAGUCUAAGGGUCUGUAGAUCAGAUUUUUACAAGUAUCAGUUAGGAUGUCAGAUCGUUAUGCUCGUGCCCUCAACACUCACAGUAAGUAACUGAAGCUUCCUGGUUUGGGUCUCGAAUGGAUACAAGGCAGCAUCACUCCAAACAUUAUUGAAUUCUAAGCCAUCAGCUGUUCUUUUAGUGUCUAAGUCAUUUCUAGGAUGGCACAAGUCCAAGUCUAAUUCAUUAAAACAGAAGAAAUCUAUAAACACCUGCAUGUAAUUGAUUAGUAAGUUGGGGUUUCUUUAACUGGUUGUUUAUUCCUCUGUUAAAAACAACACACUAAAGCAAAGAACCAACAAUGGCACGUCAUUGACAUUUUGCCAAAUUAUUAGACUUAUUUUUGUAAAGUGGGUUGUUUUACUUGGGAUGUCAGCUUCAGAGCCCCUAAAACCUACCCUCUGUGUAAGUGCUGUACUCUUUUGAUCUUGUUCAUUGGACUGAGAAUUGUGAGGGCCUUGGACAGCGUUGCUUUUUACAUAGAAAUCAACUGAGUGAAAAAAGACGGGUUUUAAGGGCAAAUUAUCUAAUUUGUGUUUCUGGAGAUGUUAAAUACACUCUUCACUCCCAAAGAGUAGAGGCUGAUCUUCCCCCAUUCUGAUGUCCCUGCUUC